Molecule: non-coding RNA, 81 nt
Filed under: uncultured Xylanibacillus sp.
Lineage: Bacteria; Bacillati; Bacillota; Bacilli; Caryophanales; Paenibacillaceae
Description: Cyclic di-GMP-I riboswitch
Rfam family: c-di-GMP-I riboswitch aptamer
About the family: GEMM was predicted in a large-scale screen for bacterial structured RNA regulatory elements. Genes associated with GEMM are involved in a diverse array of functions, including chemotaxis regulation, signal transduction, secretion and chitin.
Source: RNAcentral
GCGAUAAGGGCAAACCGCGCGAAAGCUCGGGACGCAAAGCUACGGACCUAAAGCACUCCGCUAUGGUCGCCGAGCCGCCGA